GCUGUCUUGUAAUGCGGAGCCGAUUCUAACAGUAGCGAAAUUGUUAAAACUUUGUAUUGUAUUUUCGGAAAUAAAGACAGUGCUUUAUACAAACUGUCUUGAAGAUAGGCAAAUACUUACUUAGGCCUAUUAAGUUACAACUUAGGUUUUAAUCGUAGGCCUAACUGACGGAUGUGGUUCAGAUUUUAUGAAAUGCAAGUGGCUCGUCAAAUGUUCUUUUAUAAAAUAAAUUACCAGGGCCUAAAAUUAAGAGUAGGCUCCGCAAAGUAUAUACACAUUUAAAUUGUUUCAGGUAACAUAUAGGGCACGAACACUUGUCGAUUCCUUGAAGGUGGCUCAACAAAAUGCAAGGCAUCAAAAGUAACAUCUGAUCAGUACGGUUCAAGAAGAAACGAGUGUUGAAUUCUGAUCUUUGUUUUAAAUCAAGAUUACCUUAUUUGACUCAUGCAUCUUCGGCUAAAGCGACAGACCCUGAGUUAGAGGCAGUUAAUCAAAGACUGGCUCGGACAAGCCAAAUCAAGAGGUCUGAGCCAAAUACAAGGAACAAAUGGGACAAUAUUCCUGGUUCUGGAGCCAAGCAACACCCAACACUUGGAAACAAAGACCAAGAAUAGUUAUUUUUAAUUUAACAAUUUAUUCUUUUACUUUACAAAAUUAACACCUACAUUUUAAAAGCUAGCUUUGGAAAAUAAAUAUGU
Long non-coding RNA from Macrosteles quadrilineatus (aster leafhopper), 698 nucleotides. RefSeq lists it as uncharacterized. The transcript is spliced from 4 exons. Lineage: Eukaryota; Metazoa; Arthropoda; Insecta; Hemiptera; Cicadellidae. The record is from RefSeq and is a predicted model, not a curated record.